AACAUUAAUUAAUACUAAAGAUAGUUUACAUGUGCAUCUAAUAUAUGGUAUCAAAUUCAAGAGGUCUCGAAAUACCAUGCGCAGAAAUAUUCCAAAAUCAAGAUAUGUCAUUUCGUAACAAAUUGUAGCGACACACAACAAAGCGAAAAAGAGUCCCAAGAAAAGACCUUAGUUACAGAUAAAAGGAGAUGAAAUCAAAAAAUGAAAACAGUCGCAGUCGGGAAAAUUAAGAAGACGUGUCGCAAAUUAGUCCGAGUGUGCUAAUCAAAAUGACUUUCCCUUGGAAAAUUGGUGUAACAAAAUGAGCAAAAUGAAAUCGUUGCUCUCUCUCAAAAACAUUCAGCAUUCACCCCCAAAAUUUUCCACCUCCAGUACUGCUAAUUGUGUAACACCCUCGCGCCGGUGUUGGCCCUCCUCUAACCUUAGAUUCUCUUAUUAUAUGGUAAAUCUACAAAGCUUAAUAACUCACUCCUAUUCUUAUCCUAAUACGUCACCGGGUCGCUGCCGGGCUACCAGUGCUGGCCCACCGCAGACCGAACCACCCAAUAACGAAGAAGACUCGUCAUCGUCUCCAGGUAUCAUGUCAUCUUUCUCCAAAGCACAAGACACCAUGCGGAUCUUUUUUGCUGUGUUAUUCUGGAUGUCGCUUUUCUUCUGGUAUUCUGUGUGGGAUGGGAAGAAUGAUGGCAGACCGAACAAGGGUUCUCGAUUUAGAAGAUAAAAUUGUAAGAAGUUUCUUUAUGGUGUCAUCUACAAUUAACUCCUGAUGUUGUCUUACGCUAUAGUGUAAAGCAGGGGGAGCAAAAGGGAAAAAGGAAAAAGAGGAGAAAUUUAGUGUCUAAAGUUAUUUAGAGUUACUGAAACGUGGAGAUUCUUCUGUCUACUUCACUUUAAGGUAGUGUAGAGCUCCUCGUUAGCCCAGCUAGCAUUAGUUCAUUCAUGCUAUGAUUCUUGGGUUUUGUACAAUUAUACAGGAUUAGAGUCUGUUGCAGUGGUCCUUAUAUUCUUUCAUUACGGGUAAAAGAAUACAUUUCCCUGUCUUGUUCAAGAACUUAUGAGCUACUCCGUCUUUAAUUACAUCUCUAAUAGAAGAAUACCUUUUCUUGUCUCGUAUAAGAA
Lycium barbarum (goji berry) is the source of this 1119-nucleotide long non-coding RNA. RefSeq lists it as uncharacterized. Lineage: Eukaryota; Viridiplantae; Streptophyta; Magnoliopsida; Solanales; Solanaceae. The record is from RefSeq and is a predicted model, not a curated record. The transcript has 2 exons.